Molecule: non-coding RNA, 93 nt
Filed under: Smithella sp.
Lineage: Bacteria; Pseudomonadati; Thermodesulfobacteriota; Syntrophia; Syntrophales; Smithellaceae
Description: TPP sequence
Rfam family: TPP riboswitch aptamer (THI element)
About the family: Vitamin B(1) in its active form thiamin pyrophosphate (TPP) is an essential coenzyme that is synthesised by coupling of pyrimidine and thiazole moieties in bacteria. The previously detected thiamin-regulatory element, thi box was extended, resulting in a new, highly conserved RNA secondary structure, the THI element, which is widely distributed in eubacteria and also occurs in some archaea.
Source: RNAcentral
GGUAACUAACAGGGGUGGCCGACAAGGUCUGAGAUUAUACCCUUUGAACCUGAUCCGGGUAAUGCCGGCGUAGGGAGAGAAAAAGGUGUAUCC